GUGGGGAAUAUUGGACAAUGGGCGAAAGCCUGAUCCAGCCAUGCCGCGUGUGUGAAGAAGGUCUUCGGAUUGUAAAGCACUUUAAGUUGGGAGGAAGGGCAGUAAGUUAAUACCUUGCUGUUUUGACGUUACCGACAGAAUAAGCACCGGCUAACUUCGUGCCAGCAGCCGCGGUAAUACGAAGGGUGCAAGCGUUAAUCGGAAUUACUGGGCGUAAAGCGCGCGUAGGUGGUUUUGUAAGUUGGAGGUGAAAUCCCCGGGCUCAACCUGGGAACUGCCUCCAAAACUGCAUGACUAGAGUACGGUAGAGGGUAGUGGAAUUUCCUGUGUAGCGGUGAAAUGCGUAGAUAUAGGAAGGAACACCAGUGGCGAAGGCGACUACCUGGACUGAUACUGACACUGAGGCACGAAAGCGUGGGGAUCGAACAGGAUUAGAUACCCUUGUAGUCC
This 450-nucleotide ribosomal RNA is filed under the name uncultured bacterium. RNAcentral's name for it is "bacterial SSU rRNA". It matches the Rfam family "Bacterial small subunit ribosomal RNA", at positions 354 to 796 of the family's 1533-position model. The record is from RNAcentral.